RNAcentral lists this long non-coding RNA (820 nucleotides) under Rhinopithecus bieti (black snub-nosed monkey). RNAcentral's name for it is "lncRNA (ENSRBIG00000045524.1)". The record is from RNAcentral. Lineage: Eukaryota; Metazoa; Chordata; Mammalia; Primates; Cercopithecidae.
CCUCACAAGUGUGAGUCAAAUAACUUGUAUUCUGAAACUUUGGCCUCUUCUAUUUCUUUCUUUAUAUAUGUAAUGAGAAUCUCUAACUCCAACUUCCUGAUUUCUCUGAUGAUUUGAAUGCUGCAGUCAGCCAGGGUAUGCGGGAUAUAAGCAAUCACUGCUGCAGGAAAGAUGCUGACUUGCGGUUCAUGGCCUGGCUCUGCUAGGCAGAGAGUAGUGACCCAGGUCACCCCUGUGACACCAUGGAGACCAUGUCAGAAACAGAAAUGUGCCAUUACGGGGCAACUAAAGAAGUCUGUCAUCUCUCAGGCCGUGUUUGUUGGCACUGGUCCCAAGCACCUGGUUAAUUGCUGUUUCCCUUCCCAGAGGAAAGAGCAGAGCUCCCACAGAGGCAGGAACCUGGCAAAGGGCACAGAAAGAUGGGCCAGGCCUGUGAACAGCAGUCCCAGCCAAAGGCCUUCUCCAGGAGUAGACCUGCCUAACUCCUGCAGAGUGUUCCUCGAGCUGAUGACAAUGCACAUUACAUUCACUCUAAGUGCAAAAUUCUCUCUUCCCAUGAGUGACAAAAAAAGAUAAAUAAAUUCAAAAUUCUCAGAUUGCAGCUCCAAGUCCUGCCAGCAACAAUUAGUUGUAGAGAAGAAAAUGGUGUUUCCCCUUCUCCAGCUUUACCUUCUCACCCUUUUCUUCCUCUCUCAUUCUUUGUCAUCUAUUAUUUUCCAAAAUAAAAAUAGCUAUUUAUAUCCUUUCCAAGCAAGAAAUAGGGAUCUCUAUCACCAUUUGAAUGAAUGUUCAUUAUCCUGUUGUGGGGAUGCAGUAUGAU